RNAcentral lists this long non-coding RNA (370 nucleotides) under Pan troglodytes (chimpanzee). RNAcentral describes it as "long non-coding RNA NONPTRT017773". The record is from RNAcentral. Lineage: Eukaryota; Metazoa; Chordata; Mammalia; Primates; Hominidae.
CUGACCUCUCCCCUGAAGGAGCAGGAGCAGCACUCGAGGCCGCCCUGGGAGAGCUGAGAGGCAGGCUCUGGACUGGGGACACAGGGAUAGCUGAGCCCCAGCUGGGGGUGGAAGCUGAGCCAGGGACAGUCACGGAGGAACAAGAUCAAGAUGCGCUGUAACUGAGAAGCCCCCAAGGCGGAGGCUGAGAAUCAGAGACAUUUCAGCAGACAUCUACAAAUCUGAAAGACAAAACAUGGUUCAAGCAUCCAGGCACAGGCGCAAAGAUCCAGGAAAUACUGCAGAGGAAGAUGGUGCGAGAGUUCCUGGCCGAGUUCAUGAGCACAUAUGUCAUGAUGGUGAGUGGGUGGGCAGCACGAAGUGGGUGGGG